RNAcentral lists this microRNA precursor (100 nucleotides) under Pan paniscus (pygmy chimpanzee). RNAcentral's name for it is "miRNA (ENSPPAG00000012990.1)". The record is from RNAcentral. Lineage: Eukaryota; Metazoa; Chordata; Mammalia; Primates; Hominidae.
UGAGGCAGGAGAAUUGCUUGAACCCAGGAGGCGGAGGUUGCAGUGAGCCGAGAUCGUGCCACUGCACUCCAGCCUGGGUGACAGAGUGAGACUCCGUCUC